GCAGAGUAGGGACCCGCGCGUAAGGCUGCACGCACCGUGCAGCCGCAGUGCCUGACCAACGGGGAGUUGUGGCAGGACGAAGUGGCCGAAAGGCCCGCGGUGCGGCUCCCGCAUCCCACUGC
RNAcentral lists this non-coding RNA (122 nucleotides) under uncultured Gemmiger sp. RNAcentral describes it as "THF riboswitch". It matches the Rfam family "THF (Tetrahydrofolate) riboswitch aptamer". From Rfam's summary of the family: THF riboswitch presents a pseudoknot that joins P1-P2 and the loop of P3 and two THF binding. The record is from RNAcentral. Lineage: Bacteria; Bacillati; Bacillota; Clostridia; Eubacteriales; Oscillospiraceae.